AAACAGUCAGAAGGAAUCGCUUUACUCUCCAUGUACAACGAUGAAGAUGAUGAAGAUAUGGAAGAUCUCGAUGACCAGCAACAACAGCAUGAAGAGCAGCAACAACAGCAUGAAGAAGACGAGCUGCUGGAAGAUCAGAACGAUUAUAGGGAAUCAAACGAGACGGGACCUGAUUCAGUUAACGAUGCAAUGGUUACUGAUGACUUGCCUAAUGAAACAUCAGAACAUUUAGAAACGUCACAACCUAUUGAAAUGAAUAAUACUGUUAUUGAGUCAGAAGCUGUAGAAAAUGAAGGUACUACUAAUGUUCUUGCAGAAGAUGAUUCAUUGGAUAAAUUUCUUCCCCCAC
This 349-nucleotide unclassified non-coding RNA is filed under the name Hevea brasiliensis (rubber tree). The record is from RNAcentral. Lineage: Eukaryota; Viridiplantae; Streptophyta; Magnoliopsida; Malpighiales; Euphorbiaceae.